Non-coding RNA from Dama dama (fallow deer), 73 nucleotides. The record is from the annotation of a RefSeq genome assembly. NCBI's taxonomy places the organism in Eukaryota, Metazoa, Chordata, Mammalia, Artiodactyla, Cervidae.
UUCCUGGUGGCUCAGUUGGUAAAGUGUCUGCCUGGAACGUAGAAGACCCAGGCUCAAUCCCUGUGUCAGGAAA